AUGAUCGCACUGUAUUAUGUGCAGAUGGCUAAGGGUCCGGCAGUUGACUGGACUGCUGAAUUCGCCAAACUGAGGCGACAACUUGAUGUGGCGGACGCCGACAUCGCGCUUGUGAACAAGCGACUUGACGAGUCACAGGGUAUGUGUUUUAUUUUGUAUUAUCAGCAAAUAUCAAGAGGGGUGACGGUGUCCUGGACUAGGGGGUACUCAACGCGUCGUCUCCCGAUCAGUUGGAUUGGGCCGAGGACCCCCAUGGCCGUAUACUCAUGGGCCAGUCCGGACAGCUGCUGCAUACAAUGA
This 300-nucleotide ribosomal RNA is filed under the name Triticum aestivum (bread wheat). Its description in RNAcentral is "partial small subunit ribosomal RNA". The record is from RNAcentral. Lineage: Eukaryota; Viridiplantae; Streptophyta; Magnoliopsida; Poales; Poaceae.